ACAGAGGUCUCAAGCGUUGUUCGGUUUCAUUGGGCGUAAAGGGUGCGUAGGUGGCGCGGUAAGUCGGGUGUGAAAUCUCGGAGCUUAACUCCGAAAUUGCAUUCGAUACUGCCGUGCUCGAGGACUGGAGAGGAGACUGGAAUUCAUGGUGUAGCAGUGAAAUGCGUAGAGAUCAUGAGGAAGACCAGUGGCGAAGGCGGGUCUCUGGACAGUUCCUGACACUGAGGCACGAAGGCCAGGGGAGCAAACGGG
Molecule: ribosomal RNA, 252 nt
Filed under: uncultured bacterium
Lineage: Bacteria
Description: partial 16S ribosomal RNA
Rfam family: Bacterial small subunit ribosomal RNA
Source: RNAcentral